CCUACGGGCGGCUGCAGUGGGGAAUAUUGGACAAUGGGCGAAAGCCUGAUCCAGCCAUGCCGCGUGUGUGAAGAAGGCCUUCGGGUUGUAAAGCACUUUCAGUGGGGAAGAAAGCCUUGGGGCUAAUACCCUCGAGGAAGGACAUCACCCACAGAAGAAGCACCGGCUAACUCCGUGCCAGCAGCCGCGGUAAUACGGAGGGUGCGAGCGUUAAUCGGAAUUACUGGGCGUAAAGCGCGCGUAGGCGGUCUGAUAAGCCGGUUGUGAAAGCCCCGGGCUCAACCUGGGAACGGCAUCCGGAACUGUCAGGCUAGAGUGCAGGAGAGGAAGGUAGAAUUCCCGGUGUAGCGGUGAAAUGCGUAGAGAUCGGGAGGAAUACCAGUGGCGAAGGCGGCCUUCUGGACUGACACUGACGCUGAGGUGCGAAAGCGUGGGUAGCAAACAGGAUUAGAUACCCCAGUAGC
Molecule: ribosomal RNA, 464 nt
Filed under: Vreelandella stevensii
Lineage: Bacteria; Pseudomonadati; Pseudomonadota; Gammaproteobacteria; Oceanospirillales; Halomonadaceae
Description: partial 16S ribosomal RNA
Rfam family: Bacterial small subunit ribosomal RNA
Source: RNAcentral